RNAcentral lists this ribosomal RNA (472 nucleotides) under uncultured bacterium. Its description in RNAcentral is "bacterial SSU rRNA". It matches the Rfam family "Bacterial small subunit ribosomal RNA", at positions 355 to 825 of the family's 1533-position model. The record is from RNAcentral.
UGGGGAAUUUUGGACAAUGGGGGCAACCCUGAUCCAGCAAUGCCGCGUGAGUGAAGAAGGCCUUCGGGUUGUAAAGCUCUUUUGUCAGGGAAGAAACGGUAGUAGCGAAUAACUAUUACUAAUGACGGUACCUGAAGAAUAAGCACCGGCUAACUACGUGCCAGCAGCCGCGGUAAUACGUAGGGUGCAAGCGUUAAUCGGAAUUACUGGGCGUAAAGCGUGCGCAGGCGGUUGUGUAAGUCAGAUGUGAAAUCCCCGGGCUCAACCUGGGAAUUGCAUUUGAGACUGCACGGCUAGAGUGUGUCAGAGGGGGGUAGAAUUCCACGUGUAGCAGUGAAAUGCGUAGAUAUGUGGAGGAAUACCGAUGGCGAAGGCAGCCCCCUGGGCUAACACUGACGCUCAUGCACGAAAGCGUGGGGAGCAAACAGGAUUAGAUACCCAGGUAGUCCCUGAGCGGGCUGGCAAGGCGCAU